This 4490-nucleotide long non-coding RNA is filed under the name Malus domestica (apple). Its description in RNAcentral is "long non-coding RNA (MDOM_LNC011641)". Lineage: Eukaryota; Viridiplantae; Streptophyta; Magnoliopsida; Rosales; Rosaceae. The record is from RNAcentral.
ACAUAACAAUACCAAACUAGCAGAACUUACAAGGACAUGUAUAUCAGGAAGAGAUUAUCAGAUCUGCAACUCAAAAUCUUGUAGUCAACAUUCACAACUUCCUGACGUGUUCUUUGAGAGUGUCGUAAAGAGUCUCCACAAGAUUGAGCAGGAACCCGUCCGAGCCAUGCUUUGCCAGCAAGGAAACUGAAACAGGUAGGUUAUCGUACAUCCCUAGAGGUAUACUCACCUGCAAAUACGUAGAAAUAAGUUACAAACUUUCGCAAGAUACUUGCAGUCAAUGACGAAGAAGAAGAUCGUAAUGUGUCGUAUACAAACAUGGAGAGGGGGAGGGAGAGGUAGAGAUAGAUAGAGGGAUUAAAAACCUGGCAGAAUCCGGAAACCACGGCAAUGGAUAGGAAGCUGUAAGCCUGGCACUAAAAGCGUCCAAUAUAGUAGGAUCUGUUUGCAGCUUUGGUGGAUCCCCUGGAACUGUAGGCAUUGCGAGGAGACCGAAAUCCUGAUGAGCAAUUCAAAGAGAUUGUGUUACGUAUUCAUUAGAGACAGUAUUUCUUCUGCUAAAAGUUUCGUUUUAAGAGCAAAAGGAAGGAAGAUGCUAAAAAAUAACAGUUUGUCAGUCUCUCUACUCUAACAAAACGAACUCGUUAGAUAUGAAGUGACGGAUUCCUAAAAUGAACUUUGGCGUGUGCAAAGAUGAGAGAGAGAGAGAGAGAGAGAGAGAGAGAGAGAGAGAGAGAGAGAGAGAGAGAGAGAGAGAGAGAGUACCCCGAGAAGGUCAGUAAGAGCAGCACGCAAUUCAGUCAUCACGGAGUGACAAACAUCGACAUUUUCAUCUGUUGACCGAACGGCUGCCCAUAUACGUUCUCCUAUCCCGGGACCUAAGUCAGGUCUGACUGUACUAACCCAUUCACCAUGGUUGCUCUUGAAUUCAUACCUAUUCUAUCAACCAAAUAAUAAAUUUGGAAUUCAUUAUGAACGACAAAUUUAAAUUUUGUUAAUCAAGGUGAAGAUGCAGAAAUUAUCACACUCAUAUUCAAGUCCACCAAAUCAGCACCUUACGAGAAGAUGAAAGGCGGUUGAUAGGGCUGCCAAUGACGGUAUAAUGUACUCUUCACUUGGAUUUCCUUUAUCCAAGAAAGAGUUCAAGCUUGGAACUUUGUCCUUGACAACAUCCCCGAGGUUAGCAUGUUUUAUAACUUGACCUGCAUUUGCAGAUAUAACGAGUGAGCGUCUUCUUUCCAUGUUAUGAGCUUGUCCCUAUCUCAGCAGGAGACCCAAUUUAAUAAGUGAAUAAUUUUCGGUUAAUAAUCUGUCUAUUGAACAUAAUGGCCAAUUUGUGUCUUAAAAUGCGGGGGAAUUAUAAAUUGGACUCGAUUCAUGUCAAUCAAAAUACUUACAGCGAGAGAUGAAACAGAUGAAUACGGUCAAAUCACUUACCCCCAAAUAACUUCUCAACUGAGUCAACAAGUACUUGUUUCACUCGACUGCUUGGAACACUUGAAAUCUGGAAACAGUCUUCUGCGAUGAUUAACUGAGUGGGUACGACAGGACCCGUAUCAGGCAAUUGGAGUAACACUCGUCCAAGUCUAUUCAAAAUUGCAGGAUUCCUUGCAAACCAUCCUAUAUCAGAAGUUAGUGUCAAAAGGAUAGUUUCCGAUUGCUUAGAGUGCUAGAUAGAUCAUUCGCAUAGGUAAAGCUUUCGAAGUACUAUAUUUCCAAUUGCAGAAAAAUUUAAACAAAGAAGUGUCACAAGUAAUAAUCAACAAAAAUGCAGAAUGCAUGGAUGGCAUAUGAAUCAUUAAAGCGGAAGAAGUUAGCUACUUUCUAGAAACAGAAAUAGAGAUUUCCUGUUAUAUAAAAUCAAGGGAAAACCAAAACAUGACUUUUUUUUGUCACAACCAGAAAUCUAUUUCCUAAGCCAGUCUGCAAUAUAAAAUGUCAUUGAUUUCUCACCCACUGUAUCGAAACUUUGUGCCAGAGGAGUAACUCCAGAAGUAGAAAUGACGCCAUGAGAUGGCCGAAACCCAAAAAUUCCACAAUAUGAAGCAGGAACUCUUACACUUCCUCCAGUAUCGGUUCCUGAAAAAGUGAGGGCCUUGUGCUUCAACUUAAAGAAGCAAGAAAACAACAAAAGCACACAAGGAAUAACUUACCUAAGGAAAAAUCUGCGAGGCCUGCAGCUACGACAACAGCAGAACCGCUAGAAGAGCCUCCAGGCACCCUAUCUGGUGCGCACGGAUUUCUGGGUGUGCCAUAAUGCUUGUUCUCUCCAUUCAUACUGCCAACAACACAAUGCAAAAUUCAAGGGCGUUUUCUGUUGAGUGAUUUUCGAAUGUCCAAAAUCAUUAUAUAAAUACUUUUACCACGAAAAUAGACUUGUAGGGAUCAAUCAUUUGUCAAAAUUUUUUGCAAACAAAACAGUAAUGCAAGUUUAAGCAUGUGAAGUAAGACAAGGCCUCUUUGCACUAACCAGUAAGCCAUUUCAUCCAUGACAGUUAUACCAAUACUUGUGGCACCUCCACUCAAUAUUGCCGAAACAGCCGGAGCUGUUGAUUCAGCAGCCGGGUGAGUCCUCGCCCAAUCAGGAUUCCCAAACCCAGUCACACGUCCAGCCACAUCAAAUCUGCCUCCAAGUUCAAAUUUUAGUGAAUACAAAAAUGUUUUGGCUUUUACACACACACACACACAAGAAAAAAAAAAUUGCACAAUUCAACACCCUGAAGUUCAUCAUCAUGGUUCCACAAGCACGCAUAAAACCACACAAAGCAGGAAGAUUUAUUAAAACGCUUCUCUGAAAAAGCACUUCUCAUCAUAAGUGCUUUUGUUGGAAGUAUUUUAACUUUAGUAGAAGCAAAUCCACCACAAAGUUUCAUUAAAAAUUCAAGUGCUUCAGGUAAAAAUAAAAAAUAAAAAAACUUUUGAACUUUUUUCUUUCUUUCUGAAAGUGCUUUUAGUCAUUCUCAAAUGAAGAAACGCCCAAUCACAGAAACAACCCACAAAAUUGGGUUGUUGUUGGAGAAAACUGCUUGAAUUCAAAUCCGAAAUUCGCAAGCAUCCACCAAAUAGAAGAGUGAUAUAAAUGAGGAAAAUUUAAGAGAGUAGCUCUCACAUGUCUUUAACAGCAAAGGUGAGGCUGCUCAGAGGAAGGUCAUGUGACGAAGACGGCGGCCGAAGAAGGAAUUUCUCCACGAAAGCUCCAUGUUCUGAGUCUAUCGCCAUCCCUCUCUGCCACUGCUGUCUCAGACAAUCUCAGCCUCAGCAGCAGCUCCACAUUUUGAUGACAGAAGUGAACAGCUCUCCACUCAUCAAUCAUGCGAUGAUCACUUCAGCCAGUGAGGACAAAUAUUAUUCCUUAAAAAAAAUCUGUGUUGAUAAGGCGGUCACUUCAGCCAGUGAGGACAAACUGGAAAUUCUGGAGGUUGCUUAAGUCCUCACUGUGGUCGUUAGACAUUGAGAAUCGAUAAAGUGGUACUUAAAAGCAGGAAAAACAACUUACCAUAAAAUCUGAAACAUCAAAUGUGUUUAAAAGGUCGUACCCAGUGCACAAGGCUCCCGCUUUACGCAGGGUUUGGGAGAGGUGAAUGUCGGCUAGCCUUACCCCCAUUUAUGGAGAGGCUGCUCUCAAGUCUCGAACCCGAGACCUACCGCUCAUGGGCGAAGGCACUUGCCAUCGCACCAAGUGCGACCUCAAAUGUGUUUGGUAAAAAAAAAAAAAGCUUAUUUAAAAAAUUGUUGUCAAUGACAACAAAAAAGCAUAGAAAAGCAGAAGUAGGAUCUACUAUGCUUUAAAAUUAUCUAAGCAUAGUGAACAGUGGCCAUUUGAUGAAAUUUUCAAAUAGCAAGUAUACCCCUGCCUUUUUUACAAAAUAACAAUCGUUGCCCGUGGAAUAUUAUCUUUGACAACUAUUAUAGGGAAUUAUUAUUAGCAUUCCAAAAGUCUCAUUUGACAUUCCAAACUUUCUAUAAUUAGAAAGAAAAAAAACACUUGUGAGGAGUGUAGAAUGAGAUUUUUGGAAUGCUAAUAACAGUUCCGUUAUUAUAUCACAUUAAAUGCCAUAUCAUUUUUAGUAUUUAACAUAUUCACAUUAAUUUUAUAUAAAAGUUGACAUAACACUCAGAUACUGUUUUCUUUUUUUUUACAAGCACUUUUACAAUAAAAGUUUAUUAAACGCUUAACAACUUUAUUUUACAGCUGUUCUGCUGUUUUUUUUUUUUUUUUUAACAUAACAAUACCAAACUAGCAAAACUUACAAGCACAUAUAUCAGGAAAAGAUUAUCAGAGUCUGCAACUCAAAAUCUUGUAGUCAACAUUCACAACUUCCCGACGUGUUCUUUGAGAGUGUCGUAAAGAGUCUCGACAAGAUUGAGCAGGAACCCGUCCGAGCCAUGCUUUGCCAGCAAGGAAACUGAAACGGGUAGGUUAUCGUACAUCCCUAGUGGUAUAGUCACCUGCAAAUACGUAGAAAUACGUUACAAACUUUCACAAGAUA